CCUACGGGAGGCAGCAGUGGGGGAUAUUGCACAAUGGGGGAAACCCUGAUGCAGCGACGCCGCGUGAGUGAAGAAGUAUUUCGGUAUGUAAAGCUCUAUCAGCAGGGAAGAAAAUGACAGUACCUGACUAAGAAGCACCGGCUAACUACGUGCCAGCAGCCGCGGUAAUACGUAGGGGGCAAGCGUUAUCCGGAUUUACUGGGUGUAAAGGGAGCGUAGACGGUUAAGUAAGUCUGGAGUGAAAGCCCGGGGCUCAACCCCGGGACUGCUUUGGAAACUGUGUAACUGGAGUACAGGAGAGGCAGGCGGAAUUACUGGUGUAGCGGUGAAAUGCGUAGAUAUCAGGAGGAACACCGGUGGCGAAGGCGGCCUGCUGGACUGCAACUGACGUUGAGGCCCGAAAGCGUGGGGAGCAAACAGGAUUAGAUACCCCGGUAGUC
This 440-nucleotide ribosomal RNA is filed under the name uncultured bacterium. Its description in RNAcentral is "partial 16S ribosomal RNA". It matches the Rfam family "Bacterial small subunit ribosomal RNA", at positions 338 to 795 of the family's 1533-position model. The record is from RNAcentral.